AUACGAAGGGGGCUAGCGUUGUUCGGAAUUACUGGGCGUAAAGCGCGCGUAGGCGGACUGAUCAGUUGGGGGUGAAAUCCCAGGGCUUAACCCUGGAACUGCCUCCAAUACUGUCAGUCUUGAGUUCGGGAGAGGUGAGUGGAAUUCCUAGUGUAGAGGUGAAAUUCGUAGAUAUUAGGAAGAACACCAGUGGCGAAGGCGGCUCACUGGCCCGAUACUGACGCUGAGGCGCGAAAGCGUGGGGAGCAAACAGGAUUAGAAACCCCGGUAGUCC
Molecule: ribosomal RNA, 274 nt
Filed under: uncultured bacterium
Lineage: Bacteria
Description: partial 16S ribosomal RNA
Rfam family: Bacterial small subunit ribosomal RNA
Source: RNAcentral